CCUACGGGACGCAGCAGUGAGGAAUAUUGGUCAAUGGGCGCAAGCCUGAACCAGCCAAGUCGCGUGAGGGAUGACGGUCCUAUGGAUUGUAAACCUCUUUUGUCGGGGAGCAAGGCCCGCCACGUGUGGCGGGAAUGAGAGUACCUGAAGAAAAAGCAUCGGCUAACUCCGUGCCAGCAGCCGCGGUAAUACGGAGGAAGCGGGCGUUAUCCGGAUUUAUUGGGUUUAAAGGGGGCGUAGGCGGAACGUUAAGUCAGCGGUAAAAUUGAGGGGCUGAACCUC
Molecule: ribosomal RNA, 282 nt
Filed under: uncultured bacterium
Lineage: Bacteria
Description: partial 16S ribosomal RNA
Rfam family: Bacterial small subunit ribosomal RNA
Source: RNAcentral